This 119-nucleotide small nucleolar RNA is filed under the name Dasypus novemcinctus (nine-banded armadillo). Its description in RNAcentral is "Small nucleolar RNA SNORA31 (ENSDNOG00000036923.1)". The record is from RNAcentral. Lineage: Eukaryota; Metazoa; Chordata; Mammalia; Cingulata; Dasypodidae.
AAGCACCUGCCGUGGCCAGUGGCUGCUUCUGAGGUUUCCACUCCAGGUGCACAAAAAAAUACCCUCGCCCUUUCUCUCUGUCUGAUUGUGGCAGCCUAGAUUUCAUGGGGAAUACAGGA